Molecule: ribosomal RNA, 253 nt
Filed under: uncultured bacterium
Lineage: Bacteria
Description: partial 16S ribosomal RNA
Rfam family: Bacterial small subunit ribosomal RNA
Source: RNAcentral
UACAGAGGGUGCAAACGUUGUUCGGAAUUACUGGGCGUAAAGCGCGUGUAGGCGGCUGAGCAAGUCGGAUGUGAAAGCCCUGGGCUUAACCUAGGAAGUGCAUUCGAAACUGCUUGGCUUGAGUUCUGGAGAGGAAGGCGGAAUUCUCGGUGUAGAGGUGAAAUUCGUAGAUAUCGAGAGGAACACCGGUGGCGAAGGCGGCCUUCUGGACAGUGACUGACGCUGAGACGCGAAAGCGUGGGGAGCAAACAGG